RNAcentral lists this ribosomal RNA (524 nucleotides) under Fusarium solani. RNAcentral's name for it is "eukaryotic LSU rRNA". The stretch from base 139 to 292 matches the Rfam family "5.8S ribosomal RNA". The record is from RNAcentral. Lineage: Eukaryota; Fungi; Ascomycota; Sordariomycetes; Hypocreales; Nectriaceae.
UCACUCAUCACCCUGUGACAUACCUAAAACGUUGCUUCGGCGGGAACAGACGGCCCUGUAACAACGGGCCGCCCCCGCCAGAGGACCCCUAACUCUGUUUUUAUAAUGUUUUUCUGAGUAAACAAGCAAAUAAAUUAAAACUUUCAACAACGGAUCUCUUGGCUCUGGCAUCGAUGAAGAACGCAGCGAAAUGCGAUAAGUAAUGUGAAUUGCAGAAUUCAGUGAAUCAUCGAAUCUUUGAACGCACAUUGCGCCCGCCAGUAUUCUGGCGGGCAUGCCUGUUCGAGCGUCAUUACAACCCUCAGGCCCCCGGGCCUGGCGUUGGGGAUCGGCGGAAGCCCCCUGUGGGCACACGCCGUCCCUCAAAUACAGUGGCGGUCCCGCCGCAGCUUCCAUUGCGUAGUAGCUAACACCUCGCAACUGGAGAGCGGCGCGGCCAUGCCGUAAAACACCCAACUUCUGAAUGUUGACCUCGAAUCAGGUAGGAAUACCCGCUGAACUUAAGCAUAUCAAUAAGCGGAGGA